GCCCUCGCGAGUCGUCUGCACUCCGCAAACCCCGCUCGGCGUCUGACCUGCAUAGAAGCUCCACGCCGGCACUUUAUGAUGGGGCAUCAGCAACAGUAAAGGAGCAAUCUACCCAUCAGAACCGUGAAGGAGAUGUGCCACCUCUGCUAGCAAAGGCUUAAACAAGACAGCGGAAGCACUGUCUUUAAAGAAACUGAGUGCUGGGAUUGCAGGGUCUGUGCCACCAUGCCCAACAAUCAAUGUUUCUACAGACUCAGUUCUUGGAUAUGGAGCUACGAGAUCAAAGAAUACAGGCAUUUUAAAUUCUGAUUUGAUUGUCAGAUUCCCUUCCAGGGUAUGUGUUAGAUUACACUCCAAAUGGCAGUUUAGGUAAGUGUCUGAGUUCCCCUGGCCAUGAGACAUUUCUGUUCUGUGGAGCCUGAUAGCCGUUCAGUUCCUAAACUGAACUCCAACAUUAUUACUGGUGGGGAAACCUGGGAGUGGUGGGGACACUAAUUUAAAGCUUUCCUUCAGAGCUAAGAAGUGAUGGGUAGAGGUAAUGCCUAGCACCGCAACCCUGCUAUGAAGGGGGGAGGACCUUGGGUGCCGGGCUUUUGUGCUCUUUCUUUGCAGGCUCUUUAUUAAUAAAGCCCUGUUUUCCUUGAGUGCUGGCUCAUGGGAACACGAGGAUAGAGGAAGCACUGGAGGCUGCAGUACAGCAUGUUGUCAGUUACAGAUUCUGCUUUCUAAGUUACAGACAUUACCUUCCUUUCCAGAACUUUCUGCACCCUUCCCCCGCCAUUUUUUCUUCGAGGUUUUUCUGGACCUGAGUACCUGCAAUACCUGGGAACUAGUUAGAAAUGUGUGUUUUCAGAUCUUCUGAAGGUUUACUCAGUCAGAGGCUUUGGGCAUAGGCCCGGCCAUUAGGGCUCUAAUAACCUUUCAGGGGAAGCAGAUGGUUUCUAGAAUACAACCUUCAGCUGGCCACUUCCCAUCAGGUGCCUGGACCUUCCUUUCCCACCAGUUUGUUCUUCCAUGGCUCAAGUUCUAAGCAUGAUCUGGUGUCCAGCUUUCUGAGACAGUCCUUGUUCUCACAUCUAGGCUCAAGCAGAUGUCUCCAGUUGACCCAGUUGUUCCUCAGCAAUGAAAACCCACAGUUUAUGAUGGAUGGCUGCAUAGAUAGAUAGAUAGAUAGAUAGA
Microtus ochrogaster (prairie vole) is the source of this 1179-nucleotide long non-coding RNA. RefSeq lists it as uncharacterized. Lineage: Eukaryota; Metazoa; Chordata; Mammalia; Rodentia; Cricetidae. The record is from RefSeq and is a predicted model, not a curated record.